CUAGAAAUACGACGAG
This 16-nucleotide small RNA is filed under the name Arabidopsis thaliana (thale cress). RNAcentral's name for it is "ATSL137620". Lineage: Eukaryota; Viridiplantae; Streptophyta; Magnoliopsida; Brassicales; Brassicaceae. The record is from RNAcentral.